UUGGGUUGGCUGAAAAGUUCGUUUGGGUUUUUCCAGAACAUCUUAUGGAAAAAUCUAAAGGAAUUUUUCAGCUGACACAAU
This 81-nucleotide microRNA precursor is filed under the name Bos taurus (domestic cattle). Its description in RNAcentral is "microRNA bta-mir-2285aj precursor". Lineage: Eukaryota; Metazoa; Chordata; Mammalia; Artiodactyla; Bovidae. The record is from miRBase by way of RNAcentral.